Molecule: ribosomal RNA, 497 nt
Filed under: uncultured bacterium
Lineage: Bacteria
Description: partial 16S ribosomal RNA
Rfam family: Bacterial small subunit ribosomal RNA
Source: RNAcentral
GAUGAACGCUGGCGGCGUGCCUAAUACAUGCAAGUCGAGCGAACGGACGAGAAGCUUGCUUCUCUGAUGUUAGCGGCGGACGGGUGAGUAACACGUGGAUAACCUACCUAUAAGACUGGGAUAACUUCGGGAAACCGGAGCUAAUACCGGAUGAUAUUUUGAACCGCAUGGUUCAAAAGUGAAAGACGGUCUUGCUGUCACUUAUAGAUGGAUCCGCGCUGCAUUAGCUAGUUGGUAAGGUAAUGGCUUACCAAGGCAACGAUGCAUAGCCGACCUGAGAGGGUGAUCGGCCACACUGGAACUGAGACACGGUCCAGACUCCUACGGGAGGCAGCAGUAGGGAAUCUUCAGCAAUGGGCGAAAGCCUGACGGAGCAACGCCGCGUGAGUGAUGAAGGUCUUCGGAUCGUAAAACUCUGUUAUUAGGGAAGAACAUAUGUGUAAGUAACUGUGCACAUCUUGACGGUACCUAAUCAGAAAGCCACGGCUAACUACGUG